CUAAGCAUAUCAAUAAGCGGAGGAAAAGAAACUAACAAGGAUUCCCCUAGUAACUGCGAGUGAAGCGGGAAAAGCUCAAAUUUAAAAUCUGGCAGUCUUUGGCUGUCCGAGUUGUAGUCUGGAGAAGUGUCUUCCGUGCUGGACCGUGUACAAGUCUCUUGGAACAGAGCGUCAUAGAGGGUGAGAAUCCCGUCUUUGACACGGACUACCAGUGCUUUGUGAUGCGCUCUCAAAGAGUCGAGUUGUUUGGGAAUGCAGCUCAAAAUGGGUGGUGAAUUCCAUCUAAAGCUAAAUAUUGGCGAGAGACCGAUAGCGAACAAGUACCGUGAGGGAAAGAUGAAAAGCACUUUGGAAAGAGAGUUAAACAGUACGUGAAAUUGCUAAAAGGGAACCGCUUGAAGUCAGUCGCGUUGUUCAGAACUCAACCUGGCUUUUGCUUGGUGCACUUUCUGUUUGACGGGCCAGCAUCAGUUUUGACUGCCAGAAAAAAGCCUUUGGAAUGUGGCACCUCUGGGUGUGUUAUAGCCUUUGGUUGUAUAUGGUGGUUGGGACUGAGGAUCGCAGCAUGCCUUUUGGCCGGGGUUCGCCCACGUACAUGCUUAGGAUGCUGGCAUAAUGGCUUUAAGCGACCCGUCUUGAAACACGGACCAAGGAGUCUAACAUGCGUGCAAGUGUUUGGGUGGAAAACCCGAGUGCAUAAUGAAAGUGAAAGUUGGGAUCCCUGUCGUGGGGAGCACCGACGCCCAUACCAGACCUACUGUGACGGAUAUGAGGUUGAGCAUGUAUGUUGGGACCCGAAAGAUGGUGAACUAUGCCUGAAUAGGGUGAAGCCAGAGGAAACUCUGGUGGAAGCUCGUAGCGAUUCUGACGUGCAAAUCGAUCGUCAAAUUUGGGUAUAGGGGCGAAAGACUAAUCGAACCAUCUAGUAGCUGGUUCCUGCCGAAGUUUCCCUCAGGAUAGCAGAAACUCGUAUCAGAUUUAUGUGGUAAAGCGAAUGAUUAGAGGCCUUGGGGUUGAAACAACCUUAACCUAUUCUCAAACUUUAAAUAUGUAAGAACGGGCUGUCACUUAAUUGGACUGCCUGGCGAUUGAAAAUUUCUAGUGGGCCAUUUUUGGUAAGC
Molecule: ribosomal RNA, 1121 nt
Filed under: Odoria alborubescens
Lineage: Eukaryota; Fungi; Basidiomycota; Agaricomycetes; Polyporales; Meruliaceae
Description: eukaryotic LSU rRNA
Rfam family: Eukaryotic large subunit ribosomal RNA
Source: RNAcentral